UUUCGCAAUGCCCGAAAGGGUGACGAAGCGACGCCGCGUGAGUGAGGAAGGCCUUCGGGUUGUAAAGCUCUGUCAGGAGUUAAGAAAUAUAAGUGUGUUAAUACCACAUUUAUUUGACGAAGGCUCCAAAGGAAGCCACGGCUAACUCUGUGCCAGCAGCCGCGGUAAUACAGAGGUGGCAAGCGUUGUUCGGAAUUAUUGGGCGUAAAGAGCACGUAGGUGGGUUUGUAAGUCAGAUGUGAAAGCCUUCUGUUCAACGGAAGAAUUGCAUCUGAAACUGCGAGUCUUGAGUGUAGGAGGGGAGAAUGGAACUUCUGGUGGAGCGGUGAAAUGCGUAGAUAUCAGAAGGAACGCCGGCGGCGAAAGCGAUUCUCUGGCCUAUUACUGACACUCGGUGUGCGAAAGCUAGGGGAGCAAACGGGAUUAGAUACCCCGGUAGUCCUAGCUGUAAACGAUGGGCACUAAGUAGAGGGGUUUUA
This 479-nucleotide ribosomal RNA is filed under the name uncultured anaerobic ammonium-oxidizing bacterium. RNAcentral's name for it is "bacterial SSU rRNA". It matches the Rfam family "Bacterial small subunit ribosomal RNA", at positions 364 to 833 of the family's 1533-position model. The record is from RNAcentral.